Molecule: ribosomal RNA, 491 nt
Filed under: uncultured bacterium
Lineage: Bacteria
Description: partial 16S ribosomal RNA
Rfam family: Bacterial small subunit ribosomal RNA
Source: RNAcentral
GAUGAACGCUAGCUACAGGCUUAACACAUGCAAGUCGAGGGGAAACGACAUCGAAAGCUUGCUUUUGAUGGGCGUCGACCGGCGCACGGGUGAGUAACGCGUAUCCAACCUGCCCAUCACUUGGGAAUAACCUUGCGAAAGUAAGACUAAUACCCAAUGAUAUCCCACGAAGGCAUCGGAAUGGGAUUAAAGAUUUAUCGGUGAUGGAUGGGGAUGCGUCUGAUUAGCUUGUUGGCGGGGUAACGGCCCACCAAGGCAACGAUCAGUAGGGGUUCUGAGAGGAAGGUCCCCCACAUUGGAACUGAGACACGGUCCAAACUCCUACGGGAGGCAGCAGUGAGGAAUAUUGGUCAAUGGGCGAGAGCCUGAACCAGCCAAGUAGCGUGCAGGAAGACGGCCCUAUGGGUUGUAAACUGCUUUUAUAAGGGAAUAAAGUGGGUCACGUGUGACUUUUUGCAUGUACCGUAUGAAUAAGGACCGGCUAAUUCCGU